This 111-nucleotide non-coding RNA is filed under the name Musca domestica (house fly). RNAcentral describes it as "Archaeal large subunit ribosomal RNA". It matches the Rfam family "Eukaryotic large subunit ribosomal RNA", at positions 828 to 938 of the family's 3401-position model. Lineage: Eukaryota; Metazoa; Arthropoda; Insecta; Diptera; Muscidae. The record is from Rfam by way of RNAcentral.
GAACUAUACUUGAUCAGGUUGAAGUCAGGGGAAACCCUGAUGGAAGACCGAAACAGUUCUGACGUGCAAAUCGAUUGUCAGAAUUGAGUAUAGGGGCGAAAGACAAAUCGC